GUCUAUGUUUAUGCCACCCCAAAUGUGCUCAAUCUCGUCUGAUCUUGGAAGCUAAACCGUGUCGGGCCAGAUUAGUACUUGGAUGGGAGACCUGGGAGACCACCUAGGAACACCAGGUGCUAUAGGUG
RNAcentral lists this ribosomal RNA (128 nucleotides) under Pteropus vampyrus (large flying fox). Lineage: Eukaryota; Metazoa; Chordata; Mammalia; Chiroptera; Pteropodidae. The record is from RNAcentral.